RNAcentral lists this ribosomal RNA (785 nucleotides) under uncultured bacterium. RNAcentral describes it as "bacterial SSU rRNA". It matches the Rfam family "Bacterial small subunit ribosomal RNA", at positions 8 to 775 of the family's 1533-position model. The record is from RNAcentral.
AGAGUUUGAUCCUGGCUCAGGAUGAACGCUGGCGGCGUGCCUAAUACAUGCAAGUCGAGCGAACGGACGAGAAGCUUGCUUCUCUGAUGUUAGCGGCGGACGGGUGAGUAACACGUGGAUAACCUACCUAUAAGACUGGGAUAACUUCGGGAAACCGGAGCUAAUACCAGAUAAUAUUUUGAACCGCAUGGUUCAAAAGUGAAAGACGGUCUUGCUGUCACUUAUAGAUGGAUCCGCGCUGCAUUAGCUAGUUGGUAAGGUAACGGCUUACCAAGGCAACGAUGCAUAGCCGACCUGAGAGGGUGAUCGGCCACACUGGAACUGAGACACGGUCCAGACUCCUACGGGAGGCAGCAGUAGGGAAUCUUCCGCAAUGGGCGAAAGCCUGACGGAGCAACGCCGCGUGAGUGAUGAAAGUCUUCGGAUCGUAAAACUCUGUUAUUAGGGAAGAACAUAUGUGUAAGUAACUGUGCACAUCUUGACGGUACCUAAUCAGAAAGCCACGGCUAACUACGUGCCAGCAGCCGCGGUAAUACGUAGGUGGCAAGCGUUAUCCGGAAUUAUUGGGCGUAAAGCGCGCGUAGGCGGUUUUUUAAGUCUGAUGUGAAAGCCCACGGCUCAACCGUGGAGGGUCAUUGGAAACUGGAAAACUUGAGUGCAGAAGAGGAAAGUGGAAUUCCAUGUGUAGCGGUGAAAUGCGCAGAGAUAUGGAGGAACACCAGUGGCGAAGGCGACUUUCUGGUCUGUAACUGACGCUGAUGUGCGAAAGCGUGGGGAUCAAACAG